Molecule: ribosomal RNA, 253 nt
Filed under: uncultured bacterium
Lineage: Bacteria
Description: partial 16S ribosomal RNA
Rfam family: Bacterial small subunit ribosomal RNA
Source: RNAcentral
UACGUAGGGUGCAAGCGUUAAUCGGAAUUACUGGGCGUAAAGCGAGUGUAGGCGGUCUGUCAAGUCGGGUGUGAAAGCCCCGGGCUCAACCCGGGAAGUGCACUCGAAACUCACAGGCUAGAGUAUCGGAGAGGUUGGUGGAAUUCUCGGUGUAGAGGUGAAAUUCGUAGAUAUCGAGAGGAACACCGGUGGCGAAGGCGGCCAACUGGACGAAUACUGACGCUGAGACUCGAAAGCGUGGGGAGCAAACAGG